Molecule: ribosomal RNA, 462 nt
Filed under: uncultured bacterium
Lineage: Bacteria
Description: bacterial SSU rRNA
Rfam family: Bacterial small subunit ribosomal RNA
Source: RNAcentral
CCUACGGGUGGCUGCAGUCGAGGAUCUUCGGCAAUGGGCGCAAGCCUGACCGAGCGACGCCGCGUGUGGGAUGAAGGCCCUUGGGUUGUAAACCACUGUCAGGGGGGACGAAAUGCGCGCGGGUACUCCCGUGCGUUUGACAGAGCCCCAGAGGAAGCACGGGCUAAGUUCGUGCCAGCAGCCGCGGUAAUACGAACUGUGCAAACGUUAUUCGGAAUCACUGGGCUUAAAGGGUGCGUAGGCGGCUUAUUAAGCAGGGUGUGAAAGCCCCCGGCUCAACCGGGGAAUAGCGCUCUGAACUGAUGAGCUGGAGCGAGGCAGGGGUGCGCGGAACUUCCAGUGGAGCGGUGAAAUGUGUUGAUAUUGGAAGGAACACCGGAGGCGAAAGCGGCGCACUGGGUCUUGUCUGACGCUGAGGCACGAAAGCCAGGGGAGCAAACGGGAUUAGAUACCCUAGUAGUC